UAGGGAAUCUUCCACAAUGGACGCAAGUCUGAUGGAGCAACGCCGCGUGAGUGAAGAAGGUUUUCGGAUCGUAAAGCUCUGUUGUUGGUGAAGAAGGAUAGAGGCAGUAACUGGUCUUUAUUUGACGGUAAUCAACCAGAAAGUCACGGCUAACUACGUGCCAGCAGCCGCGGUAAUACGUAGGUGGCAAGCGUUGUCCGGAUUUAUUGGGCGUAAAGCGAGCGCAGGCGGAAUGAUAAGUCUGAUGUGAAAGCCCACGGCUCAACCGUGGAACUGCAUCGGAAACUGUCUAUCUUGAGUGCAGAAGAGGAGAGUGGAACUCCAUGUGUAGCGGUGGAAUGCGUAGAUAUAUGGAAGAACACCAGUGGCGAAGGCGGCUCUCUGGUCUGCAACUGACGCUGAGGCUCGAAAGCAUGGGUAGCGAACAGGAUUAGAUACCCUGGUAGUCCAUGCCGUAAACGAUGAGCGCUAGGUGUUGGGGACUUUCCGGUUCUCAGUGCCGCAGCAAACGCAUUAAGCGCUCCGCCUGGGGAGUACGACCGCAAGGUUGAAAC
This 554-nucleotide ribosomal RNA is filed under the name uncultured bacterium. Its description in RNAcentral is "partial 16S ribosomal RNA". It matches the Rfam family "Bacterial small subunit ribosomal RNA", at positions 355 to 900 of the family's 1533-position model. The record is from RNAcentral.